RNAcentral lists this ribosomal RNA (253 nucleotides) under uncultured bacterium. Its description in RNAcentral is "partial 16S ribosomal RNA". It matches the Rfam family "Bacterial small subunit ribosomal RNA", at positions 524 to 776 of the family's 1533-position model. The record is from RNAcentral.
UACGUAGGGAGCAAGCGUUAUCCGGAUUUAUUGGGUGUAAAGGGUGCGUAGACGGAGAAGCAAGUUAGUUGUGAAAUCCCUCGGCUUAACUGAGGAACUGCAACUAAAACUACUUCCCUUGAGUGCUGGAGAGGAAAGUGGAAUUCCUAGUGUAGCGGUGAAAUGCGUAGAUAUUAGGAGGAACACCAGUGGCGAAGGCGGCUUACUGGACUGUAAAUGACGCUGAGGCUCGAAAGCGUGGGGAGCAAACAGG